CUGGACCGGCAGAAUGGUGUAGUGAAUCACCCAGCACUACAGAGGUGCCUUUGUCUGCAUGGGGGAAAUUCACGCUAAGUGGCUCACCCAGUAAGAACUCAUCCAAAGUGGAGACCCUGCUUUACAGCCCAUCACCAUAUGCAGCCACUCCUCAGAAGCACCAUGUCCCAGCAAACUGAGAGGUGCUGGGGGAAGCUGGGGACAGUUUUCUCCAUGAAUGAAGAGGUACAUCCAGCUCUGCUUGUUCACCUUGUUCACCAAUACAUCUGCACCAGCAACCUCUCCUGUCAGGAGGUGGAGGUGGCCAGCUCAGCAGCAGACCUGGGAUAGACCCUGUCUAUCCCCAGAAUGGGCUCCAGUGCAGCAGUAACAGACUACAGGAACAGCCUCUGGGAACUGGAUCCCCAUCUACUGGGUGCCCUGAGCCAAGACAGAGAGGCUGUGAUCAUGGCCAGCUGUAGAAUGGAACCAAAGGCACAGGAGACUAGAUCAUCCAAAAAGUGUUUAUGUGAAGGGGAAGAUGGGUACAGGAGGGAAUGAUAGAUGUGGUUAAAAAAAAAGAGUAAAGAAAAAGAAAGGCACAGUGUGUGUGUGUGUGUCGGUGUGUCUGUGUGUCUGUCGUCUGUCUGUUCUGUGUGUGUCUAGUGUAUGUGUGUGUCUGUGUCUCUGUGUCUCUGUGUGUCUGUGUGUAUAUAUCUGUAUGUCUGAGUGUGUGUGUGUGUCUGUCUCUGUGUGUCUGUGUGUUUGUGUAUGUGUCUCUGUGUCUGUGCCUCUGUGUGUGUGUGUGUCUAUGUGUAUGUCUCUGUAUGUGUGUGUGUGUCUGUGUCUCUGUGUGUCUGUGUCUCUGUGUGUCUCUGUCUGUGUGUAUAUAUCUGUAUGUCUAUGUGUGUGUGUGUCUGUGUCUCUGUGUGUCUGUGUCUGUGUGUCUGUGUGUUUGUGUAUGUGUCUCUGUGUCUGUGCCUCUGUGUGUGUGUGUGUCUAUGUGUAUGUCUCUGUAUGUGUGUCUCUGUGUGUGUGUCUGUGUGUAUAUAUCUGUAUGUCUGUGUGUGUGUGUGUG
RNAcentral lists this long non-coding RNA (1057 nucleotides) under Cricetulus griseus (Chinese hamster). Its description in RNAcentral is "lncRNA (ENSCGRG00015039128.1)". Lineage: Eukaryota; Metazoa; Chordata; Mammalia; Rodentia; Cricetidae. The record is from RNAcentral.